This 364-nucleotide long non-coding RNA is filed under the name Phasianus colchicus (ring-necked pheasant). RNAcentral's name for it is "lncRNA (ENSPCLG00000017085.1)". Lineage: Eukaryota; Metazoa; Chordata; Aves; Galliformes; Phasianidae. The record is from RNAcentral.
AGAUCAUUCAGUUUGUUGGUGAAGAUUUGAUCAAGAAGUUGUGAAUAAAAUUGAUUGGCACUGAAGAAAAAAAAAAAAAAGGAUCAUAAAGCUUGGAAAAUCACAACAAGGAUGUCCUAGGACUGUGAAAAACUUGCGCAUGGGAAAGAGCAAAGUUUUAGUACUGUUGAAUACCCAAUGAGCCUGAAUGAAGUCUGAGACUGAAAGGAUAAUUUGUGACGUGAUUUGUGAUUUGUGAUUCAAUUGUACUAGUCAAGGAAGCCUUCCAUUUCUCUUGAGGGCUAAGUAUUUUGAAAUGUGGAGAACAACUUCCGUGAAAAAAGAUUGAAUCUCCAGUUAGCUGGACUUGGACUGUCAAUCAAUC